UGUAUUUAUUAGAUAAAAAACCAAUGCCCUUCGGGGCUCCUUGGUGAUUCAUGAUAACUUAACGAAUCGCAUGGCCUUGUGCCGGCGAUGGUUCAUUCAAAUUUCUGCCCUAUCAACUUUCGAUGGUAGGAUAGUGGACUACCAUGGUUUCAACGGGUAACGGGGAAUUAGGGUUCUAUUCCGGAGAGGGAGCCUGAGAAACGGCUACCACAUCCAAGGAAGGCAGCAGGCGCGCAAAUUACCCAAUCCCGACACGGGGAGGUAGUGACAAUAAAUACUGAUACAGGGCUCUUUUGGGUCUUGUAAUUGGAAUGAGUACAAUUUAAAUCCCUUAACGAGGAACAAUUGGAGGGCAAGUCUGGUGCCAGCAGCCGCGGUAAUACCAGCUCCAAUAGCGUAUAUUAAAGUUGUUGCAGUUAAAAAGCUCGUAGUUGAACCUUGGGCCUGGCUGGCCGGUCCGCCUCACCGCGUGCACUGGUCCGGCCGGGUCUUUCCUCCUGGGGAGCCGCAUGCCCUUCACUGGGUGUGUCGGGGAACCAGG
This 541-nucleotide ribosomal RNA is filed under the name uncultured eukaryote. RNAcentral describes it as "SSU rRNA". It matches the Rfam family "Eukaryotic small subunit ribosomal RNA", at positions 202 to 746 of the family's 1831-position model. The record is from RNAcentral.